This 253-nucleotide ribosomal RNA is filed under the name uncultured bacterium. Its description in RNAcentral is "partial 16S ribosomal RNA". It matches the Rfam family "Bacterial small subunit ribosomal RNA", at positions 524 to 776 of the family's 1533-position model. The record is from RNAcentral.
UACGUAGGCAGCGAGCGUUGUUCGGAAUUACUGGGCGUAAAGAGUGUGUAGGCGGUGCUCUAAGUUCGGUGUGAAAUCUCUCGGCUUAACUGGGAGGGUGCGCCGGAAACUGGAGUGCUCGAACGUGGGAGAGGAAAGCGGAAUUCCUGGUGUAGCGGUGAAAUGCGUAGAUAUCAGGAGGAACACCUGCGGUGUAGACGGCUUUCUGGUCUGUAACUGACGCUGAGGCGCGAAAGCGUGGGGAGCAAACAGG